AUACUGAUUCUACAGUAGCCUGUUUUCUAAAAUGAUGACCUCCACUGUUAUUAUUUUUUUUUAAAUGGAGUCAAUUGAUGAUCAUGUUUCCAUUGACUUGUAUUGAUUUAUUAAUGUCUACUGGAAUUUUUUGGUGUAUGCUUUAAUGUACUGUAUGUGAUACAACAUUUCCAUUCCCACACAUCUUAGGUUGUUUAAAGAGUCGCUAAACUUACAAAUUCCUCCUGGGCAUUUCCGGUACUCAUCAAGAAAAAUUUGAAUUGUGUUGUUCAAUGUGGGUGUUAUGUUCGCUAUAUUAUAUCCUGGCAGUAAUGUUUGUCCCCCUUCAGUCACCGUACCGAAUUGCUUAGCAACCGGGAGAGGCAGCAGGACAUCGUGAACAUGAUUGGUCAGGGAAUACUGCAUUUCCUGCUUUCUAGAUGUAAUUGUCUUUGAUAAAUUUGGUGUUUGUGAUUCUAACGUUAGUUCAUGAAUGAAAACCCAAGCAACUUGUUUUUUCAACAUAACAUUUUCUUGUGUAUGGAUUGUUGUUUAAACAAGUUUGAGGUGUUGCAUACUAAUGUUUAGCUUGGAUGUCUAUAAAUUGAAUGCGCGGGUUGAUUCUGGUGAGCGAUUGGAUAGUGUGCUCUACAGCAUACCGGGCAUCUGUGAUCUGGAUGAUUUGAUUACUGCCAGCCAGGAUUAGACUGUGCCAGGCUUUGGUCCUGUGUGGGCAGGAUUGAAAUCAGAACCCAACCAUGAUUUUGUCAGGCCAGGAGACAUCCUGAAAAUCGGUCUUCUCACGUGGAACAACAUCUCCACCCCGCUGAUCCACCCCGCUGUCUCAUAAGGGUGCGUUUUGAGCCCUCUCCUGUACUCCCUGUUCACCCACGACUACGUGGCCAUGCACGCCUCCAACUUAAUCAUCAAGUUUGCGGACGACACUACAGUGGUAGGCUUGAUUACCAACAAUGACGAGACGGCCUACAGGGAGGAGGUGAGGGCCCUCGGAGUGUGGUGUCAGGAAAAUAACCUCACACUCAACGUCAACAAAACAAAGGAGAUGAUUGUGGACUUCAGGAAACAGCAGAGGGAGCACCCCCCCUAUCCAUAUCGAUGGGACAGUAGUGGAGAGGGUAGUAAGUUUUAAGUUCCUCGGCGUACACAUCACGGACAAACUGAAUUGGUCCACCCACACAGACAGCGUCAUGAAGAAGGUGCAGCAGCGCCUCUUCAACCUCAGGAGGCUGAAGAAAUUCGGCUUGUCACCAAAAGCAAUCACAAACUUCUACAGAUGCACAAUCGAGAGCAUCCUGGCGGGCUGUAUCACCGCCUGGUACUGCAACUGCUCCACCCACAACCGUAAGGCUCUCCAGAGGGUAGUAAGGUCUGCACAACACAUCACCGGGGGCAAACUACCUGCCCUCCAGGACACCUACACCACCCGAUGUCACCGGAAGGCCAUAAAGAUCAUCAAGGACAACAACCACCCGAGCCACUCCCUGCCACUCCCUGUUCACCCCGCUAUCAUCCAGAAGGCGAGGUCAAUACAGGUGCAUCAAAGCAGGGACCGAGAGACUGAAAAACAGCUUUUAUCUCAAGGCCAUCAGACUGUUAAACAGCCACCACCAACAUUGAGUGGCUGCUGCCAACAAACUGACUCAACUCCAGCCACUUUAAUAAUGGAAAUUGAUGAAAAAUAUAUAUCACUAGCCACUUUAAACAAUGCUACUUAAUAUAAUGUUUACAUACCCUACAUUACUCAUCUCAUAUGUAUAUACUGUACUCUAUAUCAUCUACUGCAUCUUUAUGUAAUACAUGUUUCACAAGCCACUUUAAACUAUGCCACUUUGAUUACAUACCCUACAUUACUCAUCUCACAUGUGCAUACUGUACUCUAUACCAUCUACUGCAUCUUGCCUAUGCCAGUUUGUACCAUCACUCAUUGAUAUAUCUAUGUACAUAUUCUUUAUCCCUUUACACUUGUGUGUGUACAAGGUAGUAGUUUUGGAAUUGUUAGGUUAGAUUACUCGUUGGUUAUUACUGCAUUGUCGGAACUAGAAGCACAAGCAUUUCGCUACACUCGCAUUAACAUCGGUUAACCAUGUGUAUGUGACAAAUAAAAAUUGAUUUAAUUUGAAAUGUCUGUAGCGACCAAACAGUUUGGGCUAAUAUGAAGUUGAAACUCUCACGAACGUGUACAUGCUGGUGGUUUUGCUUUAGGACGCCCACAAGCCUCGCAGGACUUGCCUGAAGGUAGCCCAGCUUUAAAAAUGGUUGUAAAGUGCCUUCAGAAAGUAUUCACACCCCUCUACUUUCUCCAGAUUUUGUUGUUACUACCUGAAUUGAAAAUGGAUUACAUGUAGAUUGUGUGUUACUGAUCUACACACACUGCCCCAUAAUGUUAAAGUGGAAAUAUGUUUUAGACAUCUUUAAAAAUUAAUAAAAGAUUAAAAGCUCGAGUCAAUAAGUAUUCAGCCCCUGUUAUGGCAAGCCUAAAUGAGUUCGGUGUAAAAAUGUGCUUAACAAGUCUAAGUUGCAUGGACUUACUCUGUGUGCAGUAAUAGUGUUUAACAUGAUUUUUGAAGAACUAACUACCCCAUCUCUUUAUGGGGUAGUUAUUCAAACACAUGAAUUUCAAGCACAGAUUCAAUCACAAAGACCAGUGAGGCUUUCCAAUGCUUUGGAAAGGUCAUCUAUUGGUACAUAAAAAAAUCAAAUAAAAGUAAGACCUUAUUCAUGACACUUUAGAUGGUGUAUUAAUCCACCCAGUGACGACAAAGAUACAGGCAUCUUUCCUAACUCAGUUGAAGAAAACCGUUGAGGGAUUUGGCCAAUGUUGAUUUUAAACCAGUUACACAGUUAAAUGGCCGUGAUACAGUGCAUUUGGAAAGUAUUCAGACCACUUGACAUUUUCCACAUUUUGUUACGUUACAGCGUUAUUUUAAAAUAGAUUCAAUUGUUUUUCUCCCUUACCAAUCUACUCACAAUCCCCCAUAAUGACAAAGCAAAAACAGUUUUUUCCAAAUGUAUAAAAUAAUAAAUUCAAGUAUAAAAUGUACAUAAGUAUUCAGACCCUUUACUCAGUACUUUGUUGGAGCACCUUUGGCAGUGCUUACGGACUCGAUUCUUCUUAGGUAGGAUGCUACAAGCUUGGCACACCUGCAUUUGGGGAGUUUCUCCCAUUCUUCUCUGCAGAUCCUCUCAAGCUCUGUCAGGUGGGAUGGGGAGUGUCGCUGCACAGCUAUUUUCAGGUCUCUCCAGAGAUGUUUAAUCGGGUUCUAGUCCGGGCUCUGGCUGGGCCACAAGGACAUUCAGAGACUUGUCCCGAAGCCACUCCUGCAUUGUCUUGGCUGUGUGCUUAAGGUCGUUGUCCUGUUGGAAGGUGAACCUUUGCCCUAGUCUGAGGUCCUCAGUGCUCUGGAGCAGGUUUUCGUCAAGGAUCUCUCUACUUUGCUUCAUUCAUCUUUCCCUCGAUCUUGACUCGUCUCCCACUCCCUGCCUCUGAUAAACAUCCCCAUAGCAUGAUGCUGCCACCAGCAUGCUUCACCGUAGGGAUGGUUCCAGGUUUCUUCCAGACGUGACGCUUGGCAUUCAGGCCAAAGAGUUCAAUCUUGGUUUCAUCAGACCAGUGAAUCUUGUUUCUCAUAUAUAUAUAUAUAUGGAAGUAGUUUAGUACCAAAAAAAAGGGGGUUAAAUAUGGGUACAAAAUAUAUAUAAAUAAUUUCCUGAUAUAUCUUAUAUCAUUUAGAUACAGGACAGACACUUCAAAACACACUUAAGAUAAAAACACAUUUUUAACUAUCUGUUUAGACUCUAGACUAGAGGUUAAGCUCCUGACCUGUGUUGAUGGCCGUGUGUUUGUUUGCCCGUGACUGACUACAGUCGCGGUACAGUGUAGCCUUUGUAUGUUUGUGUGUGUUGUCCCUAAUCAUCUCAUACACACAGCCUUUGACACACCAUGCAAGCUGUUUUUAUCGGGUAGAGCUCUGUUUGUUUGGCAUAGGGCUCUGUGGGUUUGCUUUUUUUCCUUUGAGCUUAGGGUGUUGAGCAGUGGUGGUUGCAUAGAAAGCUGCUUUUCAGCUUGAUUUGGCCCUAAUGUGCUCACUGGGCCAGUACAAUGGGUCAGCCACUGGACAGAUUAUCUCAUUUCAACGGAGCAACUCUCCCUAACCCUUCUGUCUAUCCAGCUUUCCCAAUACAGCAUGUUACUAAACAUUGACAUGGGGACAAGGAAAUAACCAAAUUAUGUACAUUUACAGAUGGAAACUUCUUACUUCUCGACUUAACAGUGUACCCUUUAUACACUACUCGCUUCUACAGUGUAUGGAACCAUAUCAGUGCAGCACUAUUGAUGAGCAAUUUUAAGUCAUUAUGGAAGUGUUUUGUGUUCCACUUUCUAUGUUCUGGAUAAAGUAGGAUUUUCAUUAAUGCUUACAGAACGGACACAGAGAAUUGUGCUGUGAGUCAUAUCACUCAGUCCCAAAACCCCUGCGUUGUAUGUUGUUAUAUUCAUGUACCUCUGUUAUUGUUGUACAGAAUGUUUAUUUUUAUCUGUUUGUUGGAAUUUUCAUAUCAGACAAUGAGAUCAGUGACAAUAAAACAUUUAAAAAAUAUA
Molecule: long non-coding RNA, 4597 nt
Organism: Oncorhynchus keta (chum salmon)
Lineage: Eukaryota; Metazoa; Chordata; Actinopteri; Salmoniformes; Salmonidae
Exons: 2
Source: RefSeq, a predicted model, not a curated record